GGAGCUAUGGUCUAUCGGCAGGAUGGCUGACUGUCUAUCAGCCGGGACGGGUUCAACUCCCGUUAGCUCCGCCA
RNAcentral lists this transfer RNA (74 nucleotides) under Acidobacteriota bacterium. Its description in RNAcentral is "Acidobacteria bacterium tRNA-Asp". It matches the Rfam family "tRNA". Rfam says of the family: Transfer RNA (tRNA) molecules are approximately 80 nucleotides in length. Their secondary structure includes four short double-helical elements and three loops (D, anti-codon, and T loops). Lineage: Bacteria; Pseudomonadati; Acidobacteriota. The record is from RNAcentral. RNAcentral also lists the same sequence under 1 other name.